Molecule: ribosomal RNA, 430 nt
Filed under: Pseudomonadota bacterium
Lineage: Bacteria; Pseudomonadati; Pseudomonadota
Description: Proteobacteria bacterium partial 16S ribosomal RNA
Rfam family: Bacterial small subunit ribosomal RNA
Source: RNAcentral
UGGGGAAUAUUGGACAAUGGGCGCAAGCCUGAUCCAGCCAUGCCGCGUGUGUGAAGAAGGCCUUAUGGUUGUAAAGCACUUUAAGCGAGGAGGAGGCUACUUUAGUUAAUACCUAGAGAUAGUGGACGUUACUCGCAGAAUAAGCACCGGCUAACUCUGUGCCAGCAGCCGCGGUAAUACAGAGGGUGCGAGCGUUAAUCGGAUUUACUGGGCGUAAAGCGUGCGUAGGCGGCUAAUUGAGUCGGAUGUGAAAUCCCCGAGCUUAACUUGGGAAUUGCAUUCGAUACUGGUUAGCUAGAGUGUGGGAGAGGAUGGUAGAAUUCCAGGUGUAGCGGUGAAAUGCGUAGAGAUCUGGAGGAAUACCGAUGGCGAAGGCAGCCAUCUGGCCUAAUACUGACGCUGAGGUACGAAAGCAUGGGGAGCAAACAGG